CCCUUAGAUGUUCUGGGCUGCACGCGUGCUACAAUGGCGCUUGCAACAAGUCUUGCCAACCCGAUAGGGUGAGCGGAUCUUUGAAGAGGCGUCGUGAUCGGGACAGUUGAUUGCAAUUAUUCGACUCGAACGAGGAAUUCCUUGUAAUCGCGAUUCAUCAUAUCGCGCUGAUUACGUCCCUGCCCUUUGUACACACCGCCCGUCGCUCCUACCGAUUGGGUGUGCUGGUGAAAUGUUCGGAUCGGCCGUUUGUCGCGGUUUCCGCGUCAUGUGGCUGAGAAGUUCAUUAAACCCUCCCACCUAGAGGAAGGAGAAGUCGUAACA
RNAcentral lists this ribosomal RNA (324 nucleotides) under uncultured eukaryote. RNAcentral describes it as "partial 18S ribosomal RNA". It matches the Rfam family "Eukaryotic small subunit ribosomal RNA", at positions 1470 to 1796 of the family's 1831-position model. The record is from RNAcentral.